RNAcentral lists this transfer RNA (72 nucleotides) under Phrynosoma platyrhinos (Desert horned lizard). RNAcentral's name for it is "tRNA-OTHER". Lineage: Eukaryota; Metazoa; Chordata; Lepidosauria; Squamata; Phrynosomatidae. The record is from RNAcentral.
GCCAAUGUGGCGUAGUAGUUUGAGUGUUGGACUGGGACUCUGGAGACCAGGGUUCAAAUCCUGGCUGGGCCA